CCCGCUCAGAAACUCAAAGGAAUUGACGGGGCCCGCACAAGCGGUGGAGUAUGUGGUUUAAUUCGAUGCAACGCGAAGAACCUUACCUGGUCUUGACAUCCCGGAGACCCUUAGGAAACUAGGGGGUGCUUCCAUCUGGAAGAAUCUGGAGACAGGUGCUGCAUGGCUGUCGUCAGCUCGUGUCGUGAGAUGUUGGGUUAAGUCCCGCAACGAGCGCAACCCUUGCCUCUAGUUGCCAGCAGUUCGGCUGGGCACUCUAAAGGGACUGCCGGUGUUAAACCGGAGGAAGGUGGGGAUGACGUCAAGUCCUCAUGGCCUUUAUGACCAGGGCUACACACGUACUACAAUGGCCGAUACAAAGGGCAGCGACACUGCGAGGUGAAGCCAAUCCCGUAAAAUCGGUCUCAGUCCGGAUUGGAGUCUGCAACUCGACUCCAUGAAGUUGGAAUCGCUAGUAAUCGUGGAUCAGCAUGCCACGGUGAAUACGUUCCCGGGCCUU
This 499-nucleotide ribosomal RNA is filed under the name uncultured Desulfobulbus sp. RNAcentral describes it as "bacterial SSU rRNA". It matches the Rfam family "Bacterial small subunit ribosomal RNA", at positions 888 to 1382 of the family's 1533-position model. The record is from RNAcentral. Lineage: Bacteria; Pseudomonadati; Thermodesulfobacteriota; Desulfobulbia; Desulfobulbales; Desulfobulbaceae.